Long non-coding RNA from Lycium ferocissimum, 2379 nucleotides. RefSeq lists it as uncharacterized. NCBI's taxonomy places the organism in Eukaryota, Viridiplantae, Streptophyta, Magnoliopsida, Solanales, Solanaceae. The record is from RefSeq and is a predicted model, not a curated record. The transcript has 2 exons.
AAAUCUUCGACAAACUUAUUUUCUUCGAUUUUCUUGGUCCCAAAAUCUUCUGAAACUUGCCAUACAUGAUAUUUAUCAUUAAUCAUACUUGAUAAUGGUCAUGUCCUUUGGUUCCAAGGUUGUCCUUCCCAGUGAUGACUUGCGAGAUCGCAAUUCAACCUGUGCGUCAUUGUUACGUCUUUUUCAUGGCUUGUAUCUCCCAAAACUUCAUGGGACGUCUCUGAUACUCUGUUAAUAUGUGAAGUACGUGGCAUGCUCAUGCUCUGAAAGUGCGAGGUGUAACAGGUGAUUGGUUUUUAUAAGCAAUUAUUGGGUUCCUCAUCUGACGAGCUACCUGCUGUGAAUACAAUCACAAUGAAAGAUGGUCCAUUACUAAGUAGAGAGCAACAAUUACACUUGAUCGCACCUGUUACUCGAGUGGAGGUAUACAGGGCCCUUCAGGAUAUUAGUGAUCUCAAAGCACCCGGAUGUGAUGGUUUUAAUGCCCUGUUUUUUAAGAAGGCUUAGCCUGCUAUUGGACAAAACAUCACCACUGCAAUAUUGAAUUUCUUCUCAUGAGAUGUACUAUCCUAUAAACUGCACUACAGUCACUUUAGUGCCAAAAGUACCAAGUCCAACUAAGAUUAUGGAGUUUCGACCUAUUUCUUAUUGUACAAUGUUGUACAAGCUGAUUUCCAAAGUUCUUACAACAAGGCUUCAGAGUGUCAUGGAUUGGCUUGUGGAGAGAAAUCAAUAUACUUUUGUACCAGGGAGGGUGAUCAGUGACAACAUCCUCCUGAGUCAUGAAUUGGUCAAAGGAUAUGGAAGAAAAAACAUAUCUCUUUGAUGCAUGCCCAAGGUGGACAUGAAAGAGGCUUAUGAUUCUGUCGAAUGGCCCUAUUUAGAGCAGAUCUUGGUUGCAUUACAGUUCCCUGAGAAGGUAAAAUGGAUAAUGACUUGCAUCACGAUUGUCUCCUAUUAUGUUAUCAUUAAUGGACAGCCUAGACCUCAAUUUUUUGCCAAAAAAAAGAUUGAGGCAAGGGGACCCACUAUCUCCUUUCCUUUUUGUGCUAGUUAUGGAGUAUCUCACAAGAAUUUUGAAGACCCUAAAGGAAAAUCCAGAUUUUAAUUACCACCCAAAGUGCUAAAAAUGCACAUAGUGCAACUGAGCUUUGCUGGUGAUCUUUUAAUGUUUUGCAGGAGAGACACCAUCUCAGUCCAAUUGCUUCAUGCCUGUUUCCAGGAAUUCUCGCAAGCAUCAGGCUGUGUAACCAAUGUCGAGAAGAGUUCUAUAUAUUUUUUUUGUGUGGGGGGAAGGGGGUGAAUGCCUCUGUGCGGGAGGAGAUACUACAAACUCUUGGUUUCUCGUAAGGACAUUCUAAUGGAUAGGACAAGCAGAAUUACCCAAGAAAGCUCUAGUUGCAUGCGAGUAAUUAUGCAACCCAAGAUCUGCAGGGGGGCUUAAUAUUCUAGAUGUUAAAAUGUGGAACUAGGAUGCCAUAUGUAAGAUCUUAUGGAAUUUGUGCAAGAAGAAGGACAAGUUGUGGGUGCAAUGGCUACAUGUUUACUAUAGCAAGCAAGGCUCUAUAUGGGGUGUAAAGGUUGGACAGGCAUCAGGGGUGAUUAAUAAAAUCCUAAAAGCUAGUCAAUAUCUAGCACAGAUUGGGGUUACUGAAACUAAUUUGAUACAGUGGGAGCACUUCUCCAUUAAGAAAGUUUACUUGCAGUUGAGGGGUGAGUUCCAAAGAGUACCAUGGCGACGACUAGUUUGCAAUAAUGGAGGACCACCUAGGUGGAUUUUCAUCCUCUACUUCGCUGUAUAUGGCAGAAUGCUUACUAAGGAUUGACUAGCCAAAUGGGGCACUAUUGAAGACACUCAGUGUUCACUAUGUGAAGAGCAUGAAGAAAGUAGUGGGAAUUUGUUCUUUACUUGUCCACUUUCGUCUCAAAUCUGGGCAAAGUUACUCAUUUGGCAAGGGAUUCCACGACAUGCUAUGGAAUGGUGACAAGAAAUGCUAUGGGUAGUGACACAUUGUAGAGGAAGAACUAUGACUGCUGAGAUAUAUAGAAUGGUAUUGGCUUGGAGCAUCUACUAUAUCUGGCAAGAGAGGAAUAAUAGGAUCUUUCAAGGUAAGAGAAGAACUGUGCUUACAUUGAUUAAACUCAUUAUCCAAGAAGUGCAUUGUAGAGGAACUAAAUGGCCUAGGUUGGGCCGCAGGUUGCAGGAGCUGAACUGCUAUCCCGAUGUUUAGUAUACUUUGAGGUAGUAGUUCGUAGAAGAACAGUUGUUUCCUGAGUUUGUGCAAGGCUGGAACUUAUGUCCAGACCUGCCAGUUUUUUUGACUCCAUCUUUGUAAAUAUUACUUGGUAAAUAAUAAAAUCGUUACUUACCAAAAAAAA